This 475-nucleotide ribosomal RNA is filed under the name Morganella morganii. Its description in RNAcentral is "partial 16S ribosomal RNA". It matches the Rfam family "Bacterial small subunit ribosomal RNA", at positions 1 to 471 of the family's 1533-position model. The record is from RNAcentral. Lineage: Bacteria; Pseudomonadati; Pseudomonadota; Gammaproteobacteria; Enterobacterales; Morganellaceae.
UUAAUUGAAGAGUUUGAUCAUGGCUCAGAUUGAACGCUGGCGGCAGGCCUAACACAUGCAAGUCGGGCGGUAACAGGGAGAAGCUUGCUUCUCUGCUGACGAGCGGCGGACGGGUGAGUAAUGUAUGGGGAUCUGCCUGAUGGCGGGGGAUAACUACUGGAAACGGUAGCUAAUACCGCAUAAUGUCUUCGGACCAAAGCGGGGGACCUCAGGGCCUCGCGCCAUCAGAUGAACCCAUAUGGGAUUAGCUAGUAGGUAAGGUAACGGCUUACCUAGGCGACGAUCCCUAGCUGGUCUGAGAGGAUGAUCAGCCACACUGGGACUGAGACACGGCCCAGACUCCUACGGGAGGCAGCAGUGGGGAAUAUUGCACAAUGGGCGCAAGCCUGAUGCAGCCAUGCCGCGUGUAUGAAGAAGGCCUUCGGGUUGUAAAGUACUUUCAGUCGGGAGGAAGGUGUCAAGGUUAAUAACCUUG